Molecule: ribosomal RNA, 497 nt
Filed under: uncultured bacterium
Lineage: Bacteria
Description: partial 16S ribosomal RNA
Rfam family: Bacterial small subunit ribosomal RNA
Source: RNAcentral
GAUGAACGCUGGCGGCGUGCCUAAUACAUGCAAGUCGAGCGAACAGACGAGGAGCUUGCUCCUCUGACGUUAGCGGCGGACGGGUGAGUAACACGUGGAUAACCUACCUAUAAGACUGGGAUAACUUCGGGAAACCGGAGCUAAUACCGGAUAAUAUAUUGAACCGCAUGGUUCAAUAGUUAAAGACGUUUUUUCUGUCACUUAUAGAUGGUUCCGCGCCGCAUUAGCUAGUUGGUAAGGUAACGGCUUACCAAGGCAACGAUUCGUAGCCGAACUGAGAGGGUGAUCGGCCACACUGGAACUGAGACACGGUCCAGACGCCUACGGGAGGCAGCAGUAGGGAAUCUUCCGCAAUGGGCGAAAGCCUGACGGAGCAACGCCGCGUGAGUGAUGAAGGUCUUCGGAUCGUAAAACUCUGUUAUUAGGGAAGAACAAAUGUGUAAGUAACUAUGCACGUCUUGACGGUACCUAAUCAGAAAGCCACGGCUAACUACGUG